RNAcentral lists this ribosomal RNA (253 nucleotides) under uncultured bacterium. RNAcentral's name for it is "partial 16S ribosomal RNA". It matches the Rfam family "Bacterial small subunit ribosomal RNA", at positions 524 to 776 of the family's 1533-position model. The record is from RNAcentral.
UACAGAGGUCUCAAGCGUUGUUCGGAUUCAUUGGGCGUAAAGGGUGCGUAGGUGGCGGGGUAAGUCAGGUGUGAAAUUUCGGAGCUUAACUCCGAAACUGCAUUUGAUACUGCCUUGCUUGAGGACUGGAGAGGAGACUGGAAUUCACGGUGUAGCAGUGAAAUGCGUAGAGAUCGUGAGGAAGACCAGUGGCGAAGGCGGGUCUCUGGACAGUUCCUGACACUGAGGCACGAAGGCCAGGGGAGCAAACAGG